This 615-nucleotide ribosomal RNA is filed under the name Triticum aestivum (bread wheat). RNAcentral's name for it is "partial small subunit ribosomal RNA". Lineage: Eukaryota; Viridiplantae; Streptophyta; Magnoliopsida; Poales; Poaceae. The record is from RNAcentral.
AUGAAUCUCCUUGCCUGGAACUGUCGAGGAUUGGGGUUGGACUCGACAGUUGGCGAACUUCGAGAUCUCAUACGGUCUCACAACCCAGCAGUGGUUUUCCUUUCUGAAACAAAAAAAUUAGCUAGAGCUAUGGAACGGUUGAAAUGGAGUUUGGGUUUCACAAAUGGAGUUGUUGUGGGCUGCAAUGGAAGAAGUGGGGGAUUGGCUUUGUGGUGGAGAGAUCAUAUUCAGGUUACGGUGAGGCCGUGGUGCCAAUAUUUCAUUGAUGCUGAGGUGGAGUGGGAGGGGAAGCUCCAUAUGAUCACUAUAUUCUAUGGGGAGCCCAAAACUGAACUACGAAAAAAAUCGUGGGAUGCCAUUCGUUUUCUUCGGGCCCAAGACAAUCUACCCUGGCUCUGUGUCUGUGAUUUUAACAAGGCCCUCUUCCACACAGAUCAAGUGGGGGUAACCCGAGAGGUUUUAAUCAGAUGGAGGAGUUCAGAGAGUGCCUCGCCGAUUGCGGCCUGGCUGAUCUUGGUUUCUAUGGAUACCCCUUUACAUGGGAUAAUAAAAGAGAUGGACAGGAUAAUAUUCAGGUUCGAUUGGAUCGUGCAACCUGUAAUGAUGGUUUUUUAA